GCUUGUUUUAUACAAGCCAUUUCCACUUGCAGAACCGCCUUCGCUGGAUGUUUUUUGUUUUACUCAUUGAUUUGUAUAAACACUAGAGAUAGUUGUGUGUGAAAAUCACAAGAGAUUUUCUGAAAUACUCGACCCAGGCUGGUGCAGUCUGACAUCAACAACCACACCAGGGACAAAACCACUCCUUAUUCUGAUGUGAAUAUUAACUGAAGCUGUAUGACCAUGUAACAUGACACCUUUCAUUGCCAACUUAUUCCCUUGUUGUGGCUGAUUGUGUGUGUGAAAAUCCCAGAAGAUUUCUGAAAUACUCUAACCAGCUCAUCUAUUACCAUCAACCACGGCACGGUUAAAGUCACAGAGAUCAGACAUUUUUCUUCACUCUGAUGUUUGAUGUGAACUGAAGCUCUUCUCUUGUUCUGCACGAUGUUAUGCUUUUCCCUGCUGAUUGGGUGUUUAGAUAACUGUAUGAAUAUCCAGCUGUGCAGGUGUUCCUAAUAAAGUGGACAAGGUAUAUAUGGAUAUUGGAUGAGAUCAGAUAAGAACAAGAUGUCUUACUCCUUCAGCUCACUCACUGAACACAUUCACCAAAAACAUUCUAUGGAUUGUGGCUGUGAGUUUCAACAUAGCUGAGAAGUCAGUCUUUUCCACAAGUAUGGACACAACGAGAGUGCAGACUUAGCCGGCUCUGCUUAUGAAGGGGAUAAAAGGAUAAAAGGAUGAAGAGUCAAUGUAUGAAGGACAAAAUGAAAGGAUAUGGAAGCAGGAGCAUGUCAGCGAUAAAGGAUGAAGAGAGAGACAGGAUGACAAAGAUAUGAAGAGAACAAAGGAAGAAUGUGAAGGUGGAGGAAUGAUGGGACGGAGGGACAGAGGUAUGGAGGUGCUAACCGUCAUCAUAGCUCCAGGCUCUGGGUGUUUUUGUGCAACAACAUUAGUCAUUUAACAUCUCACUCUUUCUCCAUCUCUUUCACUUAUUUCACACGCUGAUUUCCGAUCUGUUUCCUUCUCUCUCUUUCUUAUCACAUUUACACUGGAUGUACACUGGCCUUUGCCAUCAGGUUCACGGUUCAUAUUAACAAGGAUUCGCUUCAGGCAGCAGCAUGCUAGCCGCCAUGCUACGCUAAACAUCUCUGUGUACCAAUCGGUGAUGUAUAAACCUGCAAUCUACCUAAAAAUAUGUAACUCACUACAUAUAAAGGACUUUUUGCUAAGCAACAGGGAAUAAUAUUUAUGAAAAUGCCAAUGACCCGCUGACCUCAGCUCUCGGCCCCUUUAAAGAGAGAGGCGUAAUCCCGUGUGACUCGUUUGUGGUUGUCCAUUUGCUUUUUAGUGCUUUUAAUGUCUGCGAGUGUAACUAUCAGUGGUUUCAACAGGGUUUUGAAGGACUAUUAUUUGGCAUUUCUCUCUCUCUCUCUGUGUGUGUGUGUGUGUUUGUGUGUAUGUGUAUGUGUGUGUGUGUGUUUCCUGUUCGUUAGUCUAAAGAUGUCAGAUAAAGUGUCUCGUCCUGAGGGAGUAACAGAUUUAUCUUUUUCUCCACUGAGAAAACAAGCUGGAGUUGUCACCACACACACACACACACACACACACACACAGAUUUCCCUGGUGGGGGCCUCUGUCUUUGGGAUGUGUGCGUGAGAAGUGGACUAUGUUCUCUGUGGAUGCUCGGUUUUGGGGAAAUGAAGGCUUUACUAUUCAUUAUUAAACUAGCGCUCUUCAGACCCCAUGAGGGUCACUGCACUGACCUCUACACACACACACACACACACAUACAAAUGUUUAGAGAAAAGCAGCAUUUCUAAGAAAAUCUGACAUCUGACCACUUUAUUGUCUUGGCUUCAUAGUUUCUCUGUGAAUCCUAAUACUUUAGGUGUAGAUUUUUAUUCAAAAUACUUGUGGCGCUACAGUAAGAGGAAGUCUGAAUAAAUAAAUUGAAUAAAUAGAAAUAAACCCUUUCACGGAUAUAACUCUGUAAUAUCUGCAGUAUCUUUUCAUAUUUAAAUAGCAUGAUAGUGUGUUGUUUAAUUCAGUGGCAUGAUUUUGUUCCACUGUAUAUAUGGAGAUGGGUAGAAUGACUAAAAAUGUCUCCAAUAUCUAAUCUAAUCUCAUGUAAUAUCCAGUGCAAACAUUAUUCACUUUGUAUAAGAACACCUGGAUAUUCAUACAGUUAUCUAAACAGCCAAAAGAAAAGCAUAACAUCAUGCGGGACAAGACAAGCGCUUCAGGUUCACAUCAAACAUCAGGAUGAAGAAAAAUCUCUGAUCUCCGUGACUUUAACUGUGCCGUGGUUCUUGGUUAUCGAUGAGCUGGUUUGAGAAUUUCAGAAAGCACUGAGUGAGCAGGAGCUCAGAGGAAAAAAUGUCAAGAUUGGUUGGAACUCUCAGGAAGGAUAGAGUAACUCAAAUAAUCGCUCUUUACCAUCACUGUGAGCUGAAAAGCAUCUCGGGUGGGUUGAGGUGGAUGGGCUGGAUUGGGAUGGAACCUGCUGUUGUAGCUCGUCUGUCAAGUAUUGAUUCUUUGUGCACACUGACAUGCUUCACUACUCAACACAGUUGUAAAGAGUGAUUAUAUGUGUUAUUAUCAUUAUGUCCCUAAGUGGCUGGUCACAUGAAUCGAAUAUUUGUAAAAUUACACCAGUCAGAUUCAGUAUGUUAGUAAUCGUCACUACGAUACCAAUUUACUGCUUUUGUCAUGACCCCCCCCCCCCCAUGCUGCUGUACUAUGACGUUUCAUGGUCUGAAUUCUGAGCUUUGAUACUACUACCCUAAUUUGACUGCACUACUUUAGAAAUAACUUGUUAUAUUUCAAACAUUAAUAGCUUAUGUAAUAACCAUCAUAUUAUCAUAAAUCACUGGUAAAAUUCACAAUAAAGAUGUUCUCAAGGCGCUUCAUUCAUAAUUAUUGGGUCAUUUUUAACUGAGAUGAACUGCUGCCUCACAGCAAGAAGGUCCUGGGUUUGAAUCCCGGGUUUGAACAAGCAGGGGCCUUUCUGUGUGGAGUUUGCAUGUUCUCCUUGCAUGGAUUUCCUCCCAACAUAUACAUUAGGUGGACUGGUAAUUCUAAAUUGCCCAUAGGAGUGAGUGUGUGUGGUUGUCUGUCUAUAUGUGGCCCUGUGAUGGACUGGUGACCUGUCCAGGGUGUACCCCUGCCUUUCGCCCUAUGUGUGCUGGGAUAGGCCCUGUGACCCUAAUUAGGAAUAAAGAGUAUGGAAAAGAGUAUAAAGAGUAUAGAAAAUGGAUGGAUGGGUACUAGAGAGAUGUGUAUUGUGCUUUAUAGUUAUGUUAUAGGGUUAGGGCUGUACCAAACAACCGUGGGUUUAUUCUUGGACAGAGUUCGAAAGGAAAUUGAAUUGCACUUUUAAUAAGAAUAGGGGAACAAAAGCAAAACAUGAUACAUAUGAAUGGUUCAAACCUUGUGGCAGAUAAAAACAAAAAGCCCAUAGCUUUAAUAAAUAAAUACGUUACAUAUUUUCCUAAUGUGCUUAAUAUUUGAAUUGUUUGAUUAUACUUCUCUAACUAAAAGUUUGAGAGGUUUGCUGUAGGCCAGUGAUCGCUCUGCUUCAUUAAAUCUCUGGUUUCUGUGUUCAGGAUGUCAAACAGUGACUCAGCGUCUGCUCCUGUUGAUGGUCUAACACAGAUACAUUAAAGGUUUGGAUUCCCCCAAAGAAAAAUAUCCACGUCUCAUGCUUUGUUCUGUAGAUAAGCACUGCUGCUGUUAUCAUAAAUACUCAUCCCAGGACACUUAUUCACCAUCUGCUCACUGUAAUGUUUGAGUUUAUACUUCUGUAUAUGUAUUUACUUUCAAAUUCUGGAUCCAGGUGACGUUUUUUUUACUCAUGACGCCUCCGUGAGUUCUUGGUUGCCGCUCAUGACUCUGGCUUAAACGUUACAGCGACGUCUUUUUUUUUUCCAAAGCAGAAGAUUUGAUGACUUAAGAUAAAUGACAUUAGUCCAUCAUUCGAAGAUUCUUUGUAGUACUCUGUCUCUGUUUCUUUUAAAUACCCUGAGGGUCAAAAAUUCCUCCGUUGAACCAUGUGUCUAUCUCUGUGCUUAUUCGUGUGUGUGUGUGUGUGUGUGUACACAUUUUCCAAGUUCCACACUAAAUCACCUUGAUCCUCAAAGCAAGCAUAUGAUGAGGUUUGUUGUCCCGUAGACAUUAAAUCUGUUCCACUUGGCCUCCUACACCCUAACUAUCCCUGCCUUUCUCUCUCGAUCGUUCGUUUUAAUAAAGAUAAGUGCUGAUAAACAGUGAUUAGGAGGGUCGGCUCUGUGGAGGUGCCUCGGCAGCGAGAGUGGGUAAUAGCGCAGGACUAUUAUAGUCAUUACAUCUUUACCAAAGAGAGAGAGGACAUCAUGUUAUUACCGUCACACGCAUCAAACAGCGACGAUGCAUACCCACAAGCUCAUAUAUUACACAAGUUGAUGCAGCGUGUGUGUGUUUUUUUUAUUUGUGUGUGUUUUGGUGUUUGGUAUUAUGGCUGUCAUGGCAGCUUGUAAUAAAACUGUUACACGCAAACCUUUUCAUGCUCCUGAAUUCAUUCGUUCAUGAAACAUUCUUCCAUCUGAAAUAAUAUGGAUUCAGUAAAAUAUUACCAAGAAGUUAUGUUGUGGAACAUUUUUAAAAAGUUUUAUAUUAAGACGCUAUGGGGAACGUUAACAGGAAGUUGUGAGUGAAUCCAACUUCGUCCGGCUGAAGAGAAAUGUCAUAGAUAGGUCAAGUACUAUUCAGAGGUCAGGUCAUCUUCUCUUUAGUUAAAUGUUCAAUAAAACAGCUCUCUUUCAUCCUAUCUAUAGUCCUGACUGGCAUGUCCAAUCUGCCAAAAUUAGAGCGAAGAUUUGGGUGAUGAGUAAUUGUGUGUGUGUGUGUGUUUCAGGUUUGUAUAAAGCCAUAAUUAAUGCCUGUCUUGUAUCUCACAUGGAGAAGAGCAUUAUCUGUUCCUUUUUCCUGUCAGAGGACUGUACUACUUUUUGGCAAUAACAUUCCCUAAAAUUGCCAAGCCUUUGUUCACGUGUCACUGAGUAUUUGUGCUUUCCUGCAAUUUGGAUGUUGAUCAUAAGUGUGCGUGUCCUCUCAGUGUUUGGUGUGUGCCUAAUAAGCAAACCUCUUCGGUACAUGUUCCGUGCUAAUUUUGUGCUUUUCGAUAUGUUGCUUUUAGCUAUGUAUAACUGUAAAAACACAGUGAAGAUUUGUGGUAAAAAUAAAGAUUCUUGAAAGGUUCUUUGUCAGGGUGUUUGGUUCUGUGAAGAACCUCAAACGUCUAUGGAAUGUUUCCAUUGUACACAAGGUUCUCUGUAGUGAAAAAAAAAGAAAGUUCUUUAGACCUUAAAAAGACUUUUUUAUAGCACAAAAAAAGGAGAUCUUUUAGGAACCAUAAACUAAAAGGUUCUUUGGGGAACUGAAAAUGGAUCUUCUAUGGCAUUGCUGUGAAAAACUCUUUUUUUGGUUCUUUGUGGAACCUUUAUUUUUAAGAGCAUGGAUCGACCCAGAGCUUCUGCAUUGAUCCAGUUGCACAAAACUUUUGCUUUAUAAAGAAUCAGUAUCGUGUUUAAUUUGAUCUUAAAGCAUUAGACACAAACAAUUUAUGGGUUUCACUUCAUGAGAAAUGUUUUUAAUACUUUUGUAGUUAUACAUACACUCUGUAUGUUAGGGAUAUAAUGUCACAUAAUCUGCAUCUGUAUCUGUUUAUUGCUCUAAAUAGCUGGAUCUUUAGACCUGAAGUAUGAAGUCCAGAAACUUGCAGAUCCUUUCCCUGUAGAGAUGUCUACAGGGCUCUAUUUAUUCCCAGCACUGUAGUGAUUAUUUUUAUUUAUUAUCUAACUAAUUUACUUGGUUCUACUCCACAUCAUAUAAACAAACUCGUAGUCUAAUUUAAUCCACUGACACAGUUAAUAACCAUGAAUGAAUGAAGACUGUGAAUGCACUACUGUGAAUGCAAUGCUCAUCAACAGCAACAGCAACAGCAACUAAGUGAUGUGCCUCUUAUUAUUAUUCAUACCUUUAUAACUCAUUAUCACUUCAACCCAAAUAAUGUAUUCUUAUUCUGUUACAUCCCUAAUAUACAUGCGACUGUAAUGUAAUAUGAUCUUACUCAGGUCUUGGUGACACACAAAGUCUCACAAUUUUCACUACUUUCUUCAUAUCCUGACUGAAAAUCAACACUUUCCACUGCACUAGAAUCUCUAAAUUUUCCUACACUGGCUACUUAUCGUAUUCUGCAAUUAACAGCAUUCGUUUUCAGGGAAUGAAAUGAAAGACAUGUCUUGUGUUAUGGUAUAUAAUAAAACGGAUGUCCUUAGUGUAAUAUACUGUAUGCAAAACGACUUUUGUUGGUAAUAUUUUGGAAAGAAAAUGUAACUUAAAGAUGCUAAAGUUGAAAUGCCACUGACAAACACUGAUGAGUGUGACCGAGGAAUGAUCUGGAUGACAACACCCUAAGUGGUCUGGAUGACCAUGAGCUCUCAUUUAACUAAAACCGCUCAUGUGAGGAGCUUCACACAGGUGUUUGACCACAGAGACAGAGUGAUUAGGCCAAAGUUCAGGU
Hemibagrus wyckioides is the source of this 6535-nucleotide long non-coding RNA. RefSeq lists it as uncharacterized. Lineage: Eukaryota; Metazoa; Chordata; Actinopteri; Siluriformes; Bagridae. The record is from RefSeq and is a predicted model, not a curated record. The transcript is spliced from 3 exons.